UAGGAUAUAGCGUAAAAUGGUAACGCGUUUAUUUUGGGUAUAAAAGAUUGCAGGUUCGAGCCCUGCUAUCCUAA
This 74-nucleotide transfer RNA is filed under the name Paralemanea sp. RNAcentral's name for it is "tRNA-Pro". It matches the Rfam family "tRNA". From Rfam's summary of the family: Transfer RNA (tRNA) molecules are approximately 80 nucleotides in length. Their secondary structure includes four short double-helical elements and three loops (D, anti-codon, and T loops). Further hydrogen bonds mediate the characteristic L-shaped molecular structure. tRNAs have two regions of fundamental functional importance: the anti-codon, which is responsible for specific mRNA codon recognition, and the 3' end, to which the tRNAs corresponding amino acid is attached (by aminoacyl-tRNA synthetases). tRNAs cope with the degeneracy of the genetic code in two manners: having more than one tRNA (with a specific anti-codon) for a particular amino acid; and 'wobble' base-pairing, i.e. permitting non-standard base-pairing at the 3rd anti-codon position. The record is from RNAcentral. Lineage: Eukaryota; Rhodophyta; Florideophyceae; Batrachospermales; Lemaneaceae.